Molecule: ribosomal RNA, 253 nt
Filed under: uncultured bacterium
Lineage: Bacteria
Description: partial 16S ribosomal RNA
Rfam family: Bacterial small subunit ribosomal RNA
Source: RNAcentral
UACAGAGGUCUCAAGCGUUGUUCGGAUUCAUUGGGCGUAAAGGGUGCGUAGGUGGCGCCGUAAGUCAGGGGUGAAAUUUCGGAGCUUAACUCCGAAACUGCAUUUGAUACUGCGGUGCUUGAGGACUGGAGAGGAGACUGGAAUUUACGGUGUAGCAGUGAAAUGCGUAGAGAUCGUAAGGAAGACCAGUGGCGAAGGCGGGUCUCUGGACAGUUCCUGACGCUGAGGCACGAAGGUCAGGGGAGCAAACGGG